This 274-nucleotide ribosomal RNA is filed under the name uncultured bacterium. RNAcentral's name for it is "partial 16S ribosomal RNA". It matches the Rfam family "Bacterial small subunit ribosomal RNA", at positions 523 to 796 of the family's 1533-position model. The record is from RNAcentral.
AUACAGAGGGUGCGAGCGUUAAUCGGAAUUACUGGGCGUAAAGCGCGCGUAGGCGGCUACUUAAGUCAGAUGUGAAAUCCCCGGGCUCAACCUGGGAACUGCAUCUGAUACUGGGUAGCUAGAGUUUAGGAGAGGGAAGUAGAAUUUCAGGUGUAGCGGUGAAAUGCAUAGAGAUCUGAAGGAAUACCAGUGGCGAAGGCGGCUUCCUGGCCUAAAACUGACGCUGAGGUGCGAAAGCGUGGGUAGCAAACGGAAUUAGAAACCCCGGUAGUCC